AGAUUGAACGCUGGCGGCAGGCCUAACACAUGCAAGUCGAGCGGUAGAGAGGUGCUUGCAUCUCUUGAGAGCGGCGGACGGGUGAGUAAUGCCUAGGAAUCUGGCCUAGUGGGUGGGGGAUAACGUUCGGAAACGGACGCUAAUACCGCAUACGUCCUACGGGAGAAAGCGGGGGACCUUCGGGACCUCGCGCCAUUAGAUGAGCCUAGGUCGGAUUAGCUAGUUGGUGAGGUAAUGGCUCACCAAGGCGACGAUCCGUAACUGGUCUGAGAGGAUGAU
This 279-nucleotide ribosomal RNA is filed under the name uncultured soil bacterium. Its description in RNAcentral is "partial 16S ribosomal RNA". It matches the Rfam family "Bacterial small subunit ribosomal RNA", at positions 26 to 304 of the family's 1533-position model. The record is from RNAcentral.